RNAcentral lists this transfer RNA (72 nucleotides) under Bos taurus (domestic cattle). It matches the Rfam family "tRNA". Rfam says of the family: Transfer RNA (tRNA) molecules are approximately 80 nucleotides in length. Their secondary structure includes four short double-helical elements and three loops (D, anti-codon, and T loops). Lineage: Eukaryota; Metazoa; Chordata; Mammalia; Artiodactyla; Bovidae. RNAcentral also lists the same sequence under 3 other names. The record is from Rfam by way of RNAcentral.
UCCCUGGUGGCUCAGACAGUAAAGAAUCCACCUGCAAUGUGGGAGACCUGGGUUCAAUUCCUGGGCUGGGAA